Tyto alba (common barn owl) is the source of this 779-nucleotide long non-coding RNA. RefSeq lists it as uncharacterized. The transcript has 7 exons. Lineage: Eukaryota; Metazoa; Chordata; Aves; Strigiformes; Tytonidae. The record is from RefSeq and is a predicted model, not a curated record.
GAAAAGAUUCUGCUUUCAGGUUAUCGGAGAUGGUGAUUUGAAGAAUCAGGUUUCCAAUAUGAACAAAGCAAAAGCGUCAUCUGAAAAAAGUGUUUCUACCAGUUCUCAGACUAUGUCUCUGCUGUCACAGCUGGAGAAGAUCAAUUUGGAUUCUGUAUUAGGAGAAGCAGACAAUGCCAGAUAUGUUACCUCAGAGAUCCUUCAUCUAGUUCAGAGUCAAGAAAAAAACAAGGAGGAGAUGACUUCUAAGGGCUCCACUGGAAUAGAAGUUAUCCUGUCAGCCCUAGAGGUAAAACCUUCCGAUCUGUGUGGUUAUGGAAUACAAAAGAUCCUCAAAGUAUUCGAAAUAUAUUGAAUAUCCUCAUUGAGAUUGUGUCAGUUGGUGGCGGUCAGAGGGCAGGCGUCUUAGUCACUAAAGGAGGGACACAGAUCUUAUUGCAGUUGCUUUUGACUGCCAGCAAAGACUCUCCACCAACUGGAGAAUUAAUGGUGCUUCUUCAUACUCUUCUUGCAAAAAUUGGUCCAAAAGACAAAAAGAUUGGCAUGAAAGCAAGAAUUAAUGGUGCCCUAAACAUAUCAUUGAAUUUAGUGAAGCAGAAUUUGCAAAACCACAGGCUAAUAUUGCCAUGUCUUCAAGUAUUAAGAGUUUACUCAACCAACUGUAAGUACUGCUGAUAGUUCUUUUUUUUCCCAUGUGAUACAAAAGUUUUUACCUAGAUACAGUUGAAACAUCCGAUCUACAUGCUUGUUCAAUGUUAGAUGUUUAAAAUAAUUAUUUU